Long non-coding RNA from Cornus florida, 172 nucleotides. RefSeq lists it as uncharacterized. The transcript is spliced from 3 exons. The record is from RefSeq and is a predicted model, not a curated record. Lineage: Eukaryota; Viridiplantae; Streptophyta; Magnoliopsida; Cornales; Cornaceae.
UCUUCUAAUAUGACAUAAACCCUCUCUUCGUGUUCUUCUCAAAGUACCUGAUCGAAUUCACAGCCAAGGCCGUUGAUAACAGUGGUACUAUUGUCGGCAUUAAAUGCAAGGAUGGGAUUGUUGGGCUUGCUGUUCAUUGAACCGAUAUUGCUGCCUGCUACCUUGGAAGGUA